This 404-nucleotide ribosomal RNA is filed under the name uncultured bacterium. RNAcentral describes it as "partial 16S ribosomal RNA". It matches the Rfam family "Bacterial small subunit ribosomal RNA", at positions 30 to 526 of the family's 1533-position model. The record is from RNAcentral.
AUUGAACGCUGGCGGCAGGCCUAACACAUGCAAGUCGAGCGAGCGGCGGAUGGGUGAGUAAUGCCUGGGAAUCGCCCAGUCGAGGGGACUAACAGUUGGAAACGAUUGCUCAUACUGCACACGAGUGGACUGCCCCGGUGGGAUUAUCAAGUUGGUGAGGUAAUGGCUCACCAAGGCGACGCUCCCUAGCUGGUUUGAGAGGAUGAUCAGCCACACUGGAACUGCUACACGGUCCAGGCUCCUACGGGAGGCCGCAGUGGGGAAUAUUGCACAAUGGGGGGAACCCUGAUGCAGCCAUGCCGCGUGUGUGAAGAAGGCCUUCGGGUUGUAAAGCACUUUCAGCGGGGGGGCGUUACUCGCAGAAGAAGCACCGGCUAACUCCGUACCAGCAGCCGCGGUAAUUC